UCCCGGUUGGUGUAAUGGUUAACAUUGCCGCCUCUCAGGUUAGCAGACAGCUGUCCGCGGCAGCUCGGGGUUCGAUUCCCCGAUCGGGAA
RNAcentral lists this transfer RNA (90 nucleotides) under Athelia sp. TMB. RNAcentral's name for it is "tRNA-Glu". It matches the Rfam family "tRNA". From Rfam's summary of the family: Transfer RNA (tRNA) molecules are approximately 80 nucleotides in length. Their secondary structure includes four short double-helical elements and three loops (D, anti-codon, and T loops). The record is from RNAcentral. Lineage: Eukaryota; Fungi; Basidiomycota; Agaricomycetes; Atheliales; Atheliaceae.